This 342-nucleotide ribosomal RNA is filed under the name Bombyx mori (domestic silkworm). Its description in RNAcentral is "partial 12S ribosomal RNA". The record is from RNAcentral. Lineage: Eukaryota; Metazoa; Arthropoda; Insecta; Lepidoptera; Bombycidae.
UUAGAUACCCCACUAUUAAAAAUUUAAAUAAAUAAUACAAAAAUAGUAUAUAAUUAUUUAUAAAAACUAAAAUAAUUUGGCGGUAUUUUAGUUUAUUUAGAAGAAUCUGUUUAUUAAUUGAUAUUCCACGAAUAAAUUUACUUAAUUUAUUUAAUUUUGUAUAUCGUUGUGAAAAAAAUAUUUUAAAAUAAUAAUAAUAUUUUAAUUUUGAUAUUAAAAGUAAAAUCAGAUCAAGAUGCAGAUUAUAAUUAAGAAUAUAAUGCAUUACAAUAAAUUUAUUUAAUUGGAUGUUAUUUUUAAAAAUUAAUUGAAAUUGGAUUAAAAUGUAAUUUAAUUUAAUUU